GAUGAACGCUGACAGAAUGCUUAACACAUGCAAGUCUACUUGAAUUUGGGUUUUUUAACUUAGAUUUGGGUGGCGGACGGGUGAGUAACGCGUAAAGAACUUGCCUCACAGCUAGGGACAACAUUUGGAAACGAAUGCUAAUACCUGAUAUUAUGAUUUUAAGGCAUCUUAGAAUUAUGAAAGCUAUACGCGCUGUGAGAGAGCUUUGCGUCCCAUUAGCUAGUUGGAGAGGUAACGGCUCACCAAGGCGAUGAUGGGUAGCCGGCCUGAGAGGGUGAACGGCCACAAGGGGACUGAGACACGGCCCUUACUCCUACGGGAGGCAGCAGUGGGGAAUAUUGGACAAUGGACCAAGAGUCUGAUCCAGCAAUUCUGUGUGCACGAUGACGUUUUUCGGAAUGUAAAGUGCUUUCAGUUGGGAAGAAAAAAAUGACGGUACCAACAGAAGAAGUGACGGCUAAAUACGUGCCAGCAGCCGCGGUAAUACGUAUGUCACAAGCGUUAUCCGGAUUUAUUGGGCGUAAAGCGCGUCUAGGUGGUUAUGUAAGUCUGAUGUGAAAAUGCAGGGCUCAACUCUGUAUUGCGUUGGAAACUGUGUAACUAGAGUACUGGAGAGGUAAGCGGAACUACAAGUGUAGAGGUGAAAUUCGUAGAUAUUUGUAGGAAUGCCGAUGGGGAAGCCAGCUUACUGGACAGAUACUGACGCUGAAGCGCGAAAGCGUGGGUAGCAAACAGG
Molecule: ribosomal RNA, 736 nt
Filed under: uncultured Fusobacterium sp.
Lineage: Bacteria; Fusobacteriati; Fusobacteriota; Fusobacteriia; Fusobacteriales; Fusobacteriaceae
Description: bacterial SSU rRNA
Rfam family: Bacterial small subunit ribosomal RNA
Source: RNAcentral